RNAcentral lists this ribosomal RNA (443 nucleotides) under uncultured bacterium. RNAcentral describes it as "partial 16S ribosomal RNA". It matches the Rfam family "Bacterial small subunit ribosomal RNA", at positions 338 to 795 of the family's 1533-position model. The record is from RNAcentral.
CCUACGGGGGGCAGCAGUGGGGAAUAUUGGGCAAUGGACGCAAGUCUGACCCAGCAACGCCGCGUGAAGGAAGAAGUAUUUCGGUAUGUAAAGCUCUAUCAGCAGGGAAGAAAGAAAUGACGGUACCUGACUAAGAAGCCCCGGCUAACUACGUGCCAGCAGCCGCGGUAAUACGUAGGGGGCAAGCGUUAUCCGGAUUUACUGGGGGGAAAGGGAGCGUAGACGGCGGUGCAAGUCGGAUGUGAAAGGCGGGGGCCCAACCCCUGGACUGCUUUGGAAACUGUAUGGCUGGAGUGCAGGGGAGGUAAGUGGAAUUCCUGGUGUAGCGGUGAAAUGCGUAGAUAUUAGGAGGAACACCAGUGGCGAAGGCGGCUUACUGGACUGUAACUGACGUUGAGGCUCGAAAGCGUGGGGAGCAAACAGGAUUAGAUACCCUUGUAGUC